This 803-nucleotide non-coding RNA is filed under the name Lotongus taprobanus. The record is from RNAcentral. Lineage: Eukaryota; Metazoa; Arthropoda; Insecta; Lepidoptera; Hesperiidae.
CAUAUAUAUAUAUAUUAAAAAUUUAAAAUAUAUUUAUAUAUAAAUUUUAGUGUUAAUUUAUUAUUAUUUAAAUAAUAAUAAUAAUAAUAUAAAUAGUAGUAAAUAAUAUUAAAAAUUUAAGAAAUUAUGAUUUAGUUACAUUAUAAUUAUUAACAAAUUUUGUGCCAGCAGUUGCGGUUAUACAAAAAUUAAAAUAAAUUUUAUUAGUUUAUAAUAAAUAUUAAAAUUUAUAAAUUAAAUAUUAAAUUAUUAAGUGAAAUUUUAAUUUAAUUAAAAUUUAUUUUUAAUAUAUGAUUUAAUAAAUUUAAAAAUAAACUAGGAUUAGAUACCCUAUUAUUAAAAAUAUAAAUUAAAAUACUAAAAUAGUAAAUAAUUAUAUUUAUAUUUAUAUAUAUAUAUAUAUACAUAAAUAUUGAAACUUAAGUAAUUUGGCGGUAUUUUAGUUCAUUUAGAGGAAUCUGUUAAGUAAUUGAUAUUCCACGAAUAAAUUUACUUAAUUUAUUAUUUUAUAUAUCGUUGUUAAAAAAAUAUUUUUAAAUAAAAAUAAUAUUUUAAAAUUAAAAAAAGAAAUUAGUUCAGAUCAAGAUGUAGAUUAUAAUUAAGAUAAAUAAUGGAUUACAAUGAAUUUAUUUAAAUGGAUAUUAUUUUGAAAAAUAAAAUUGAAAGUGGAUUUAAAUGUAAUUUUAAUUAAUUUAUUAAAAUGAAUAAAAAUUAAGAUAUGUACAUAUUGCCCGUCACUUUCAUUUAAAAGUUGGAAUAAGUCGUAACAAAGUAGAGGUACUGGAAAGUGUUUCUAGAAAGAC